This 301-nucleotide ribosomal RNA is filed under the name uncultured bacterium. RNAcentral describes it as "partial 16S ribosomal RNA". It matches the Rfam family "Bacterial small subunit ribosomal RNA", at positions 509 to 808 of the family's 1533-position model. The record is from RNAcentral.
CAGUCGCCGCGGGAAUACGUAGGUCCCGAGCGUUGUCCGGAUUUAUUGGGCGUAAAGCGAGCGCAGGCGGUUAGAUAAGUCUGAAGUUAAAGGCUGUGGCUUAACCAUAGUACGCUUUGGAAACUGUUUAACUUGAGUGCAAGAGGGGAGAGUGGAAUUCCAUGUGUAGCGGUGAAAUGCGUAGAUAUAUGGAGGAACACCGGUGGCGAAAGCGGCUCUCUGGCUUGUAACUGACGCUGAGGCCCGAAAGCGUGGGGAGCAAACAGGAUUAGAUACCCCUGUAGUCCCUGUCUCUUAUACA